RNAcentral lists this ribosomal RNA (383 nucleotides) under uncultured eukaryote. Its description in RNAcentral is "partial 18S ribosomal RNA". It matches the Rfam family "Eukaryotic small subunit ribosomal RNA", at positions 592 to 976 of the family's 1831-position model. The record is from RNAcentral.
CAAUAGCGUAUAUUAAAGUUGUUGCAGUUAAAAAGCUCGUAGUUGGAUUUCUGGUGGGAGCGAUCGGUCUGGCGCUUAGCGCGAGUACUUGCAUCGUCUCCGGCCAUCCUUGGGGAGAGUCUGUCUGGCAUUAAGUUGUCGGGCAGAGGAUCCUCAUCGUUUACUGUGAAAAAAUUAGAGUGUUCAAAGCAGGCUUAUGCCGUUGAAUAUAUUAGCAUGGAAUAAUAAGAUAGGACUUUGGUACUAUUUUGUUGGUUUGCGCACCAAAGUAAUGAUUAAUAGGGACAGUUGGGGGUAUUCGUAUUCCGUUGUCAGAGGUGAAAUUCAUGGAUUUACGGAAGACGAACUACUGCGAAAGCAUUUACCAAGGAUGUUUUCAUUAA